Molecule: signal recognition particle RNA, 215 nt
Filed under: Armatimonadetes bacterium RBG_19FT_COMBO_69_19
Lineage: Bacteria; Bacillati; Armatimonadota
Description: signal recognition particle sRNA large type
Rfam family: Bacterial large signal recognition particle RNA
About the family: The signal recognition particle (SRP) is a universally conserved ribonucleoprotein involved in the co-translational targeting of proteins to membranes. Archaeal SRP consists of a 7S RNA and homologues of the eukaryotic SRP19 and SRP54 proteins. In most bacteria, the SRP consists of a 4.5S RNA and the Ffh protein (a homologue of the eukaryotic SRP54 protein).
Source: RNAcentral
CGGGGCUGAAUCCCCCUCCGAGACGCCGGACCUCAGGGUCUGGACGGCGCACGUGGCGACGACGGCCGGGUCCCGCGCAACGAGAUCUGAUGAACCCCGCCAGGUCCGGAAGGAAGCAACGGUAAGUCAGUGCUCUCGUGUGCCGCGGGGACACCUGGUCCGAGCCGGCGGUGCUGAUCCCGCCUGGGGGCUGGUUGGCGACGAGGGGUGCACGG